AGCGAACGCUGGCGGCAGGCCUAACACAUGCAAGUCGAACGAACUCUUCGGAGUUAGUGGCGGACGGGUGAGUAACACGUGGGAACGUGCCUUUUGGCUCGGAAUAACUCAGGGAAACUUGUGCUAAUACCGAAUGUGCCCUUCGGGGGAAAGAUUUAUCGCCAUUAGAGCGGCCCGCGUCUGAUUAGCUAGUUGGUGAGGUAACGGCUCACCAAGGCGACGAUCAGUAGCUGGUCUGAGAGGAUGACCAGCCACACUGGGACUGAGACACGGCCCAGACUCCUACGGGAGGCAGCAGUGGGGAAUCUUGCGCAAUGGGCGAAAGCCUGACGCAGCCAUGCCGCGUGAAUGAUGAAGGUCUUAGGAUUGUAAAAUUCUUUCACCAGGGACGAUAAUGACGGUACCCGGAGAAGAAGCCCCGGCUAACUUCGUG
RNAcentral lists this ribosomal RNA (433 nucleotides) under uncultured bacterium. Its description in RNAcentral is "partial 16S ribosomal RNA". It matches the Rfam family "Bacterial small subunit ribosomal RNA", at positions 29 to 507 of the family's 1533-position model. The record is from RNAcentral.